This is a small nucleolar RNA of Neodiprion fabricii, 90 nucleotides long. RefSeq annotates it as small nucleolar RNA SNORD70. The record is from RefSeq and is a predicted model, not a curated record. The transcript has a single exon. Lineage: Eukaryota; Metazoa; Arthropoda; Insecta; Hymenoptera; Diprionidae.
UUUCUUAUUAUCGAUGAUGCAUACUAUUGUAAAUUGAAAUACUUUUAUGAUGAAUAAACAUUUCGUCACUACCACUGAGAUAUUGGAUAA